This 467-nucleotide ribosomal RNA is filed under the name uncultured bacterium. RNAcentral's name for it is "bacterial SSU rRNA". It matches the Rfam family "Bacterial small subunit ribosomal RNA", at positions 328 to 793 of the family's 1533-position model. The record is from RNAcentral.
GCCCCAGACUCCUACGGGAGGCAGCAGUGAGGAAUAUUGGUCAAUGGACGAGAGUCUGAACCAGCCAAGUAGCGUGAAGGAUGACUGCCCUAUGGGUUGUAAACUUCUUUUAUAUGGGAAUAAAACAGGGUAUGCAUACCCUCUUGUAUGUACCAUAUGAAUAAGGAUCGGCUAACUCCGUGCCAGCAGCCGCGGUAAUACGGAGGAUCCGAGCGUUAUCCGGAUUUAUUGGGUUUAAAGGGUGCGCAGGCGGCACGGCAAGCCGGGGGUCAAAUCGCGGGGCUCAACCCCGCCCAGCCGUCGGAACUGCCGGGCUAGAGUGGGCGAGAAGUGCGCGGAAUGCGUGGUGUAGCGGUGAAAUGCAUAGAUAUCGCGCAGAACUCCGAUUGCGAAGGCAGCAUGCCGGCUCCACACUGACGCUGAGGCACGAAAGCGUGGGUAUCGAACAGGAUUAGAUACCCCCGUAG